RNAcentral lists this ribosomal RNA (343 nucleotides) under Nostoc sp. HG1. Its description in RNAcentral is "partial 23S ribosomal RNA". It matches the Rfam family "Bacterial large subunit ribosomal RNA", at positions 2071 to 2410 of the family's 2925-position model. The record is from RNAcentral. Lineage: Bacteria; Bacillati; Cyanobacteriota; Cyanophyceae; Nostocales; Nostocaceae.
CGCGGUUAGACGGAAAAGACCCCGUGCACCUUUACUGCAGCUUCAGAGUGGCAUUAGGAAAGAACUGUGUAGCAUAGGUGGGAGGCUUUGAAGCCAGGUCGCCAGAUCUGGUGGAGCCAUAGGUGAAAUACCACCCUGUUGUUUUCUGAUGUCUAACCUCGCACCGUGAAACCGGUGCAGGGACCCUCUGUGGCGGGUAGUUUGACUGGGGCGGUCGCCUCCUAAAGAGUAACGGAGGCGCGCGAAGGUUGGCUCAGGACGGUUGGAAACCGUCUGUUAGAGUGCAAUGGCAUAAGCCAGCCUGACUGUGAGACCGACAGGUCGAGCAGAGACGAAAGUCGGU